Molecule: unclassified non-coding RNA, 189 nt
Filed under: uncultured Eurotiomycetes
Lineage: Eukaryota; Fungi; Ascomycota; Eurotiomycetes
Description: sequence contains ITS1
Source: RNAcentral
ACAAGCCGUGAAAAGGUCGCCUUGAAAAAGGAUCGAUCUAUCACCUGGCCACCCUUGUUUACCUUAACCUGUUGCUUUGGUGGGCCCGCCGCAAGGCCGCCGGGGAGCUUUGCUCCUGGGCCCGUGCCCACCAAAGUCUUACUGAACUCAAGGAUUUUUUGCUGUCUGAGUGUGAAAGCGUAAUUUUUA